RNAcentral lists this ribosomal RNA (344 nucleotides) under uncultured bacterium. RNAcentral describes it as "bacterial SSU rRNA". It matches the Rfam family "Bacterial small subunit ribosomal RNA", at positions 8 to 349 of the family's 1533-position model. The record is from RNAcentral.
AGAGUUUGAUCAUGGCUCAGGACGAACGCUGGCGGCGCGCCUAACACAUGCAAGUCGAACGAGAGAGAGGGAGCUUGCUUCCUCAAUCGAGUGGCGAACGGGUGAGUAACGCGUGAGGAACCUGCCUCAAAGGAGGGGGACAACAGUUGGAAACGACUGCUAAUACCGCAUAAGCCCACGGGUCGGCAUCGACCAGAGGGAAAGGAGCAAUCCGCUUUGAGAUGGCCUCGCGUCCGAUUAGCUAGUUGGUGAGGUAAUGGCCACCAAGGCAACGAUCGGUAGCCGGAUGAGAGGUUGAACGGCCACAUUGGGACUGAGACACGGCCCAGACUCCUACGGGAGCA